UGUUUGAAGGGGCUUAAGCUAUUCAAACCAUAUAAGUCGGUAUGAAACACCAAAACGGAAUGAUCAAUAACCGAUUACGUUUUGUAGUUUACAAAUUCUAAACUGGUUCCUGUCAAACUACAACACUUUGUUCGAGUGUAGUGAAAUACAAGCAGAAACCAGUUAGUUUGUAAACUGGUUCCUGGCUGAUUACUACACAAUGAUCAUGCAUAAUGAUAACACAAGCAGAUUCCAGUUUGUAUGAAAAAU
RNAcentral lists this long non-coding RNA (249 nucleotides) under Mytilus galloprovincialis (Mediterranean mussel). The record is from RNAcentral. Lineage: Eukaryota; Metazoa; Mollusca; Bivalvia; Mytilida; Mytilidae.